GGCCCCUUGGUCAAGCGGUUAAGACACCAGCCUUUCACGCUGGUAUCAGGGGUUCGAUUCCCCUAGGGGUCACCA
Molecule: transfer RNA, 75 nt
Filed under: Clostridium sp.
Lineage: Bacteria; Bacillati; Bacillota; Clostridia; Eubacteriales; Clostridiaceae
Description: tRNA-Glu
Rfam family: tRNA
About the family: Transfer RNA (tRNA) molecules are approximately 80 nucleotides in length.
Source: RNAcentral